AGACGUCUACAUUAGAUACCCGCGUAGUCCCAGCCGUAAACUAUGCGCGUUAGGUGUAUCGGUGACCACGAGUCACCGAGGUGCCGAAGGGAAACCGUGAAACGUGCCGCCUGGGAAGUACGGUCGCAAGGCUGAAACUUAAAGGAAUUGACGGGGAGCACCACAACAGGUGGAGCCUGCGGUUUAAUUGGACUCAACGCCGGGAAGCUCACCGGAUAGGACAGCAGAAUGAUUGCCGGGCUGAAGACCCUGCAUGACUAGCUG
This 264-nucleotide ribosomal RNA is filed under the name uncultured archaeon. RNAcentral's name for it is "partial 16S ribosomal RNA". It matches the Rfam family "Archaeal small subunit ribosomal RNA", at positions 717 to 982 of the family's 1478-position model. The record is from RNAcentral.